UGCUAGAUCUCCUGAGAGGUUAGCUGC
Molecule: non-coding RNA, 27 nt
Filed under: Rattus norvegicus (Norway rat)
Lineage: Eukaryota; Metazoa; Chordata; Mammalia; Rodentia; Muridae
Source: RNAcentral